GAUGAACGCUGGCGGCGUGCCUAACACAUGCAAGUCGAACGGUGGCAGUAAUGUCAUAGUGGCGCACGGGUGAGGAACACGUAGCUAACCUGCCCUCGAGUGUGGGAUAACGCCCCGAAAGGGGUGCUAAUACCGCAUAAGCUCACGCUGAGCAAGUAGGCGUGAGAAAAGAUUAAUCGCUUGAGGAGGGGGCUGCGGCCCAUCAGGUAGUUGGUGAGGUAAAGGCUCACCAAGCCGACGACGGGUAGGGGGUCUGAGAGGAUGGCCCCCCACACUGGGACUGAGACACGGCCCAGACUCCUACGGGAGGCAGCAGUGAGGGAUAUUGCACAAUGGGGGAAACCCUGAUGCAGCGACGCCGCGUGGGUGAUGAAGGCCUUCGGGUCGUAAAACCCUUUUACCACUGACGAGACAAGGACGGUAGGUGGUGAAUAAGCCUCGGCUAACUACGUG
Molecule: ribosomal RNA, 453 nt
Filed under: uncultured bacterium
Lineage: Bacteria
Description: bacterial SSU rRNA
Rfam family: Bacterial small subunit ribosomal RNA
Source: RNAcentral